AGUUCGGAUCGCAGUCUGNAACUCGACUGCGUGAAGGUGGAGUCGCUAGUAAUCGCGGAUCAGCAACGCCGCGGUGAAUGCGUUCCCGGGCCUUGUACACACCGCCCGUCAAGUCAUGAAAGUGGGCAGCACCCGAAGACGGUGGCCUAACCCUUGUGGGGGGAGCCGUCUAAGGUGAGGCUCGUGAUUGGGACUAAGUCGUAACAAGGUAAC
Molecule: ribosomal RNA, 213 nt
Filed under: uncultured bacterium
Lineage: Bacteria
Description: partial 16S ribosomal RNA
Rfam family: Bacterial small subunit ribosomal RNA
Source: RNAcentral